RNAcentral lists this small RNA (30 nucleotides) under Bombyx mori (domestic silkworm). Its description in RNAcentral is "ovarian small RNA-5159". Lineage: Eukaryota; Metazoa; Arthropoda; Insecta; Lepidoptera; Bombycidae. The record is from RNAcentral.
GAGGAAAAGCAGAACCUGCCCCAUGGGUAG